RNAcentral lists this ribosomal RNA (580 nucleotides) under Scheffersomyces stipitis. RNAcentral describes it as "eukaryotic LSU rRNA". It matches the Rfam family "Eukaryotic large subunit ribosomal RNA", at positions 76 to 664 of the family's 3401-position model. Lineage: Eukaryota; Fungi; Ascomycota; Pichiomycetes; Serinales; Debaryomycetaceae. The record is from RNAcentral.
UGCCUUAGUACGGCGAGUGAAGCGGCAAAAGCUCAAAUUUGAAAUCUGGCACCUUCGGUGUCCGAGUUGUAAUUUGAAGAAGGUAACUUUGGAGUCAGCUCUUGUCUAUGUUCCUUGGAACAGGACGUCACAGAGGGUGAGAAUCCCGUGCGAUGAGAUGUCUGAUUCUAUGUAAAGUGCUUUCGAAGAGUCGAGUUGUUUGGGAAUGCAGCUCUAAGUGGGUGGUAAAUUCCAUCUAAAGCUAAAUAUUGGCGAGAGACCGAUAGCGAACAAGUACAGUGAUGGAAAGAUGAAAAGAACUUUGAAAAGAGAGUGAAAAAGUACGUGAAAUUGUUGAAAGGGAAGGGUUUGAGAUCAGACUUGGUAUUUUGUAUGUCUUGCUUUCGGGUGGGGCCUCUACAGUUUACUGGGCCAGCAUCGGUUUGGACGGUAGGAUAAUGACAUUGGAAUGUGGCACCACUUCGGUGGUGUGUUAUAGACUUUGUUGAUACUGCCUGUCUAGACCGAGGACUGCGUCUUUGACUAGGAUGCUGGCAUAAUGAUCUUAAACCGCCCGUCUUGAAAGGCGAAACCAGAAAAA